AUUGAACGCUGGCGGAAUGCUUUACACAUGCAAGUCGAACGGCAGCACGGGGCAACCUGGUGGCGAGUGGCGAACGGGUGAGUAAUACAUCGGAACGUGCCCAAUCGUGGGGGAUAACGUAGCGAAAGUUACGCUAAUACCGCAUACGAUCUACGGAUGAAAGCGGGGGAUCGCAAGACCUCGCGCGAGUGGAGCGGCCGAUGUCAGAUUAGGUAGUUGGUGGGGUAAAGGCUCACCAAGCCAACGAUCUGUAGCUGGUCUGAGAGGACGACCAGCCACACUGGAACUGAGGCACGGUCCAGACUCCUACGGGAGGCAGCAGUGGGGAAUUUUGGACAAUGGGCGCAAGCCUGAUCCAGCCAUUCCGCGUGCAGGAUGAAGGCCUUCGGGUUGUAAACUGCUUUUGUACGGAACGAAACGGCGAGCUCUAAUACAGUUUGCUAAUGACGGUACCGUAAGAAUAAGCACCGGCUAACUACGUG
Molecule: ribosomal RNA, 482 nt
Filed under: uncultured bacterium
Lineage: Bacteria
Description: bacterial SSU rRNA
Rfam family: Bacterial small subunit ribosomal RNA
Source: RNAcentral